This 253-nucleotide ribosomal RNA is filed under the name uncultured bacterium. RNAcentral's name for it is "partial 16S ribosomal RNA". It matches the Rfam family "Bacterial small subunit ribosomal RNA", at positions 524 to 776 of the family's 1533-position model. The record is from RNAcentral.
UACGAAGGGGGCUAGCGUUGUUCGGAAUCACUGGGCGUAAAGGGCGCGCAGGCGGCCAUUCAAGUCAGAUGUGAAAGCCCCGGGCUCAACCUGGGAGGUGCAUUUGGGACUGGAUGGCUUGAGAUCGGGAGAGGAGAGUGGAAUUCCCAGUGUAGAGGUGAAAUUCGUAGAUAUUGGGAAGAACACCGGUGGCGAAGGCAGCUCGCUGGGACGGUACUGACGCUGAGGCGCGAAAGCGUGGGGAGCAAACAGG